UACGUAGGGAGCGAGCGUAAUCCGGAUUUAUUGGGUGUAAAGCGUGUGUAGGCGGUCCGUUAAGUCAGCGGUAAAAUUGCGGGGCUCAACCCCGUCGAGCCGUUGAAACUGGGGGCCUUGAGUGGGCGAGAAGAAGGCGGAAUGCGUGGUGUAGCGGUGAAAUGCAUAGAUAUCACGCAGAACCCCGAUUGCGAAGGCAGCCUUCCGGCGCCCUACUGACGCUGAGGCACGAAAGUGCGGGGAUCGAACAGG
RNAcentral lists this ribosomal RNA (252 nucleotides) under uncultured Bacteroidales bacterium. Its description in RNAcentral is "partial 16S ribosomal RNA". It matches the Rfam family "Bacterial small subunit ribosomal RNA", at positions 524 to 776 of the family's 1533-position model. The record is from RNAcentral. Lineage: Bacteria; Pseudomonadati; Bacteroidota; Bacteroidia; Bacteroidales.